UAAAAAAAGGUAAGCUACUAAGAGCGAAUGGUGGAUGCCUUGACUGGUAAAGGCGAUGAAGGACGUACUAGACUGCGAUAAGCUACGGGGAGCUGUCAAGAAGCUUUGAUCCGUAGAUUUCCGAAUGGGGCAACCCAAUGUAUAGAGAUAUACAUUACCUAUAUAGGAGCGAACGAGGGGAAUUGAAACAUCUUAGUACCCUCAGGAAAAGAAAUCAAUAGAGAUUGCGUCAGUAGCGGCGAGCGAAAGCGCAAGAGGGCAAACCCAGUGCUUGCACUGGGGGUUGUAGGACUGCAAUGUGCAAGAGCUGAGUUUAGCAGAACAUUCUGGAAAGUAUAGCCAUAGAGGGUGAUAGUCCCGUAUGCGAAAAACAAAGCUUAGCUAGCAGUAUCCUGAGUAGGGCGGGACACGAGGAAUCCUGUCUGAAUCCGGGUCGACCACGAUCCAACCCUAAAUACUAAUACCAGAUCGAUAGUGCACAAGUACCGUGAGGGAAAGGUGAAAAGAACUGAGGUGAUCAGAGUGAAAUAGAACCUGAAACCAUUUGCUUACAAUCAUUCAGAGCACUAUGUAGCAAUACAGUGUGAUGGACUGCCUUUUGCAUAAUGAGCCUGCGAGUUGUGGUGUCUGGCAAGGUUAAGCAAACGCGAAGCCGUAGCGAAAGCGAGUCUGAAUAGGGCGCUUAGUCAGAUGCUGCAGACCCGAAACGAAGUGAUCUAUCCAUGAGCAAGUUGAAGCUAGUGUAAGAACUAGUGGAGGACUGAACCCAUAGGCGUUGAAAAGCCCCGGGAUGACUUGUGGAUAGGGGUGAAAGGCCAAUCAAACUUCGUGAUAGCUGGUUCUCUCCGAAAUAUAUUUAGGUAUAGCGUUGUGUCGUAAUAUAAGGGGGUAGAGCACUGAAUGGGCUAGGGCAUACACCAAUGUACCAAACCCUAUCAAACUCCGAAUACCUUAUAUGUAAUCACAGCAGUCAGGCGGCGAGUGAUAAAAUCCGUCGUCAAGAGGGAAACAACCCAGACUACCAGCUAAGGUCCCUAAAUCUUACUUAAGUGGAAAACGAUGUGAAGUUACUUAAACAACCAGGAGGUUGGCUUAGAAGCAGCCAUCCUUUAAAGAAAGCGUAAUAGCUCACUGGUCUAGUGAUUUUGCGCGGAAAAUAUAACGGGGCUAAAGUAAGUACCGAAGCUGUAGACUUGCACACAACUUAGAUUAUUUAAGUUUAGAAUAUGAGAAACUAAGUUAUGUUUAGUUAUAUUUUUACUGAUUUUUAUAGAGUAAAGAUAGAAAUAAAACUUAGUAAAAUCAGUAAAAAUAUUCUUAGGCUAAAGUUAAGUAGUUUAAGUUGUGUGCAAGUGGUAGGAGAGCGUUCUAUUUGCGUCGAAGGUAUACCGGUAAGGAGUGCUGGAGCGAAUAGAAGUGAGCAUGCAGGCAUGAGUAGCGAUAAUUAAUGUGAGAAUCAUUAACGCCGUAAACCCAAGGUUUCCUACGCGAUGCUCGUCAUCGUAGGGUUAGUCGGGUCCUAAGUCGAGUCCGAAAGGGGUAGACGAUGGCAAAUUGGUUAAUAUUCCAAUACCAACAUUAGUGUGCGAUGGAAGGACGCUUAGGGCUAAGGGGGCUAGCGGAUGGAAGUGCUAGUCUAAGGUUGUAGGAGGUUAUACAGGCAAAUCCGUAUAACAAUACUCCGAGAACUGAAAGGCUUUUUGAAGUCUUCGGAUGGAUAGAAGAACCCCUGAUGCCGUCGAGCCAAGAAAAGUUUCUAAGUUUAGCUAAUGUUGCCCGUACCGUAAACCGACACAGGUGGGUGGGAUGAGUAUUCUAAGGCGCGUGGAAGAACUCUCUUUAAGGAACUCUGCAAAAUAGCACCGUAUCUUCGGUAUAAGGUGUGGUUAGCUUCGUACUAGGAUUUACUCCGAAAGCGAAGAAACUUACAACAAAGAGUCCCUCCCGACUGUUUACCAAAAACACAGCACUCUGCUAACUCGUAAGAGGAUGUAUAGGGUGUGACGCCUGCCCGGUGCUCGAAGGUUAAUUGAUGGGGUUAGCAUUAGCGAAGCUCUUGAUCGAAGCCCGAGUAAACGGCGGCCGUAACUAUAACGGUCCUAAGGUAGCGAAAUUCCUUGUCGGUUAAAUACCGACCUGCAUGAAUGGCGUAACGAGAUGGGAGCUGUCUCAAAGAGGGAUCCAGUGAAAUUGUAGUGGAGGUGAAAAUUCCUCCUACCCGCGGCAAGACGGAAAGACCCCGUGGACCUUUACUACAGCUUGACACUGCUACUUGGAUAAGAAUGUGCAGGAUAGGUGGGAGGCUUUGAGUAUAUGACGCCAGUUGUAUAUGAGCCAUUGUUGAGAUACCACUCUUUCUUAUUUGGGUAGCUAACCAGCUUGAGUUAUCCUCAAGUGGGACAAUGUCUGGUGGGUAGUUUGACUGGGGCGGUCGCCUCCCAAAUAAUAACGGAGGCUUACAAAGGUUGGCUCAGAACGGUUGGAAAUCGUUCGUAGAGUAUAAAGGUAUAAGCCAGCUUAACUGCAAGACAUACAAGUCAAGCAGAGACGAAAGUCGGUCUUAGUGAUCCGGUGGUUCUGUGUGGAAGGGCCAUCGCUCAAAGGAUAAAAGGUACCCCGGGGAUAACAGGCUGAUCUCCCCCAAGAGCUCACAUCGACGGGGAGGUUUGGCACCUCGAUGUCGGCUCAUCGCAUCCUGGGGCUGGAGCAGGUCCCAAGGGUAUGGCUGUUCGCCAUUUAAAGCGGUACGCGAGCUGGGUUCAGAACGUCGUGAGACAGUUCGGUCCCUAUCUGCCGUGGGCGUAAGAAGAUUGAAGAGAUUUGACCCUAGUACGAGAGGACCGGGUUGAACAAACCACUGGUGUAGCUGUUGUUCUGCCAAGAGCAUCGCAGCGUAGCUAAGUUUGGAAAGGAUAAACGCUGAAAGCAUCUAAGCGUGAAGCCAACUCUAAGAUGAAUCUUCUCUAAGCUCUCUAGAAGACUACUAGUUUGAUAGGCUGGGUGUGUAAUGGAUGAAAGUCCUUUAGCUGACCAGUACUAAUAGAGCGUUUGGCUUAUCUUUAAUAAAGCAU
Molecule: ribosomal RNA, 3071 nt
Filed under: Campylobacter jejuni
Lineage: Bacteria; Pseudomonadati; Campylobacterota; Epsilonproteobacteria; Campylobacterales; Campylobacteraceae
Description: 23S ribosomal RNA
Rfam family: Bacterial large subunit ribosomal RNA
Source: RNAcentral